RNAcentral lists this ribosomal RNA (227 nucleotides) under uncultured bacterium. RNAcentral describes it as "partial 16S ribosomal RNA". It matches the Rfam family "Bacterial small subunit ribosomal RNA", at positions 1021 to 1248 of the family's 1533-position model. The record is from RNAcentral.
ACCGGACCCAAAACAAGGUGCUGCAUGGCGUGUCGUCAGCUCGUGUCGUGAGAUGUUGGGUUAAGUCCCGCAACGAGCGCAACCCUUAUCAACAGUUGCCAUCAUUAAGUUGGGAACUCUGUUGAGACUGCCGUUGAUAAAACGGAGGAAGGUGGGGAUGAUGUCAAGUCAUCAUGGCCUUUAUGUUCAGGGCUACACACGUGCUACAAUGGAUGGUACAAAACGUC